AACGCGAAGAACCUUACCAGCUCUUGACAUCAUCUGACCACCCUAGAGAUAGGGCUUUCCCUUCGGGGACAGAUAGACAGGUGGUGCAUGGUUGUCGUCAGCUCGUGUCGUGAGAUGUUGGGUUAAGUCCCAUAACGAGCGCAACCCUUAUUGUUAGUUGCCAGCAUUCAGUUGGGCACUCUAGCGAGACUGCCGGUGAUAAACCGGAGGAAGGUGGGGAUGACGUCAAAUCAUCAUGCCCCUUAUGAGCUGGGCUACACACGUGCUACAAUGGACGGUACAACGAGUUGCGACCCCGCAAGGGUUAGCGAAUCUUUAUAAGCCGCUCUCAGUUCGGAUUGCUCUCUGCAACUCGAGAGCAUGAAGCCGGAAUCGCUAGUAAUCGCGA
Molecule: ribosomal RNA, 388 nt
Filed under: uncultured Atopostipes sp.
Lineage: Bacteria; Bacillati; Bacillota; Bacilli; Lactobacillales; Carnobacteriaceae
Description: bacterial SSU rRNA
Rfam family: Bacterial small subunit ribosomal RNA
Source: RNAcentral